UGCCCUACGAUCACGCCGCCGAGAUCACCAAAGAGAAGCUCAAGAGGCUGGAGAACCCCGAUCAGAGAUUCCUCAAAUACGCGUCUCCUCAUCCAAUCCUCGCCUCUCACAACCACAUCUUGUCAGCUCCCGAGACACGUGUCACCACCUUGCCCAACGGCUUACGAGUCGCCACCGAAUCGAAUCUCUCCGCGAAGACCGCCACCGUCGGGGUGUGGAUCGACGCCGGAUCGAGGUUCGAGUCCGAUGAGACGAACGGGACGGCGCAUUUUCUGGAGCAUAUGAUAUUCAAAGGCACGGAGAGGCGUACGGUGAGGGCGUUGG
This 324-nucleotide long non-coding RNA is filed under the name Brassica napus (rape). Its description in RNAcentral is "long non-coding RNA (BNAP_LNC026197)". The record is from RNAcentral. Lineage: Eukaryota; Viridiplantae; Streptophyta; Magnoliopsida; Brassicales; Brassicaceae.